This 513-nucleotide long non-coding RNA is filed under the name Coturnix japonica (Japanese quail). RNAcentral's name for it is "lncRNA (ENSCJPG00005012463.1)". The record is from RNAcentral. Lineage: Eukaryota; Metazoa; Chordata; Aves; Galliformes; Phasianidae.
AUGCAUCUUUACACUCUGUUGUGUUACCAUUGCUAUGUAGUCUGUCUGAGACUGAAGGUGCACUUCAGCAGCUCUAGUAAGAAGAAAUGCUCCAGUGUGAGUGGUGUCCUCUUCUCAGCUGGUGGUCAAAGUUUGGUACCUUCACCAAUUGCUCCGAUAUUCUUGCCUGAGAUUUUCUGUGGGAAAACACAUGCCUGUAUACCAUGCCACAGCAUGGGGUACAUUACAUGGCCCCUGACUCAGUUAAUUUGCAGAGCUGCGUGUCCUCUGUAGCCUUCAGAGUUUUUAAUUUACUCUUAGUAUAUUUUUGAAGAAAGUCAAAACUCAAAAACAGAUCAUGAGUAAAGAGUGUUUUAUGAAGCUCAAAGAAUUCUGUUUUCUAUAGCUGAUAGAUCAUCAAAGUGCUAAUAGGUUGGUUGAUUCGUAGGAAAUAAUACUUCUGUUGAGAUUAGUAUGUUUGCUAUUCUGUCAUUAGAAAAUAAACAAUUAAGAUGUAGACUGAAAGGUCUGGGG